Non-coding RNA from Sus scrofa (pig), 352 nucleotides. Lineage: Eukaryota; Metazoa; Chordata; Mammalia; Artiodactyla; Suidae. The record is from RefSeq and is a predicted model, not a curated record.
UUGUCCUGCUGUAUUUUCCCUCUUUGGAACAGCAGGCAAUUUUUAGAAGUUUUUUUCUUGAGUCUGUUGGUGCCCAAGCAUGGAUUCUGAAAUUCAGAGAGAAUGAAAUGACUGAAGGGAAGUUGAGCCACCACGUUAAAGGAAGGGAAAAUGCAGUUGCAGGUGAAUUCUGGGAGUAGAAGAGAGAAUAAAAGUGAAUAAAAGAACAGCUGCAAACCUCCACGAACUCAGUGGACCUUGGGAGAAGAAUGAGAAGAGUAACAGGCACUGCAACAUUGGAAAGAGUGCUGCACUUGGCAUUUGACAUCCCGGCUCUGCUUCUCAUGAAUUGGGUCCCUUUGCAAGCAGCUUC